CCUACGGGGGGCUGCAGUGGGGAAUCUUGCGCAAUGGGCGAAAGCCUGACGCAGCGACGCCGCGUGUGGGAUGACGGCCUUCGGGUUGUAAACCACUGUCGGGAGGGACGAAGAUCUGACGGUACCUCCAAAGGAAGCACCGGCUAACUCUGUGCCAGCAGCCGCGGUAAUACAGAGGGUGCGAGCGUUGUCCGGAAUCACUGGGCGUAAAGGGCGCGUAGGCGGCUGGGUAAGUAGGGGGUGAAAUCUCGCAGCGCAACUGCGAGGCUGCCUUCUAGACUGCCUGGCUUGAGCGCGGUAGAGGCUGGUGGAAUUCCCGGUGUAGCGGUGGAAUGCGUAGAGAUCGGGAGGAACAUCGGUGGCGAAGGCGGCCAGCUGGGCCGUUGCUGACGCUGAUGCGCGAAAGCGUGGGGAGCAAACAGGAUUAGAUACCCUGGUAGUC
This 442-nucleotide ribosomal RNA is filed under the name uncultured bacterium. Its description in RNAcentral is "partial 16S ribosomal RNA". It matches the Rfam family "Bacterial small subunit ribosomal RNA", at positions 338 to 795 of the family's 1533-position model. The record is from RNAcentral.